This 253-nucleotide ribosomal RNA is filed under the name uncultured bacterium. RNAcentral describes it as "partial 16S ribosomal RNA". It matches the Rfam family "Bacterial small subunit ribosomal RNA", at positions 524 to 776 of the family's 1533-position model. The record is from RNAcentral.
UACGGAGGGAGCAAGCGUUACUCGGAAUUAUUGGGCGUAAAGGGCGCGUAGGCGAUUUAACAAGUCUUGUGUGAAAGCCCCGGGCUUAACUCGGGAAGUGCACAAGAAACUGUUGAAUUUGAGUUCCGGAGAGGAAGGCAGAAUUUCCGGUGGAGCGGUGAAAUGCGUAGAGAUCGGAAAGAACACCAACGGCGAAAGCACUCUGCUGGGCCGACACUGACACUGAGAGACGAAAGCUAGGGGAGCGAAUGGG